Non-coding RNA from Doryrhamphus excisus (bluestripe pipefish), 2006 nucleotides. NCBI's taxonomy places the organism in Eukaryota, Metazoa, Chordata, Actinopteri, Syngnathiformes, Syngnathidae. The record is from RefSeq and is a predicted model, not a curated record.
GUGGGAGAUGAUGACGAAAGUGCUGUUGUGUCAACAAAAGAUGGGAAAUAAAAAAAAGUCAAAGCCAUCAAGUGUACAGUUUGGAAAUAAGAGGAAAAACGGACAAAAAUAUAAAGAACCAAUAGCUCCAGCUUGCGACCUCGUUCCCGAUCUCGACUGAACAGUGCCUUUCACCGUGAAGGCCAAGCAGGAGACAACAAAAGAGGGUCUUCAAGCUCUGGCUACUCCUUGGAACUACUGUAAGGUAAAGGCUGGGCUUCACUGUAUUUGUUACGGAGUAUACACAUGGCUAUACUGCCAACAUCCUGUCCCUCACUGAUAUGUUCUAUACCGAAAAUCAGAUUACGAAUAUAUACACUUGUACACCUUUAUUUCGUAUUGUAUAUUUUGCUCAGCAUGUUUCAAACAAUGACCUUCACUAAUGAUGUAAUGGUUGACUCCACUGAUCAGUGGUUAUUUGUCUAUAUGUGCCCUGUGAUUGACGAGUGUCCAGUUCAAGGUGUCGCCCGCCAUUCACCUGAAGUCAGCUGGGAUAGGCUCCAGCACCCCCGCGACCCUCGUGAGGAAAAGCGGUAGAAAAUGAAUGAAUGAAUGAAUGUUUCAAACAAUGACCGUCACUAAUGAUGUAAUGGUUGACUCCACUGAUCACUGGUUAUUUGUCUGUAUGUGUGGUGAUUGAUGAGUGUCCAGUUCAAGGUGUAGCCCGCCAUUCACCUGAAGUCAGCUGGGAUAGGCUCCAGCUCACCACCACUCUGAACGAGAUAUGUGUGAAACAGGCCCAGAUUUACUCAAGGUGAGGCCCACAAUGAGCCCCAGAAGCCUAUUAACACCAGAGGUUUCGGGAAUGCUCCUCAGUGGACAUGGACGCCUUCCUACCAAUUUGUGGGCUAAAUGUUUUGAAUUGACCAGAGAUGCACAGGCUGUUAUUGGAAUCCUCUUCCGCUCCUCCAUGAUGACAUCCCUGGUGGAGCUGGUGGAUGUUAGACACCUGAAAUUCCUCCAACUUCCUUCCACUUGAGGGUCUAGAGACAUACUUUCCACUCCAUCACCUACAACUUCAGCAUCCUCAGCAAGGUACUUGUCAAAUUGGAGGUGUCUUAUGGCUCCUUGUCAUGUUGGCAAACUGCCGAAGGAUGGGAUCAUGUUCUGCUUCAGACGGAAUUUGUGUUUCCCUCAAUGAACCGCAGCUCCUCAGUGCUGGCAGCACUCAUGCAGAACCAGACUAUGAUGCUACUGCAUAGUUGUGUUUCCAGUUUAAACAUUGGCUGUGUGUUGAAUCAUUUUCAGCGGAUAGUAAAUCUCCACUGCUAUACAAGUUUUACACUGACCACUGUAGUUACUCACCGUAAGCCGCUACUUUAUUCUUUAAACUUAAACAGCUUAUAGUCCGGUGCUGUCCAUGUAUUUACGAAUAUGUUGCACUCUUCUGUACUCUGUGUGUAUGCCACCUCCACCCAUCGAGUGGUAGAGACUGUAUGACUGACAAAAGGGCUUACUACAUUCAUCCCGUUGUUCUAUAGAACAAACGUCAAGGUCCUGAAACCAAUGCACAGAUUGAACGCUCUUCCUCCCCGUUUGGAGGCGAAAGACAAGGAAAAUGAUGAUGAUCAAUUUAAUUUUUUAUUGCAAGAUGGGCGGCACGGCGGUCGAGUGGUUAGCGUGCAGACCUCACAGCUAGGAGACUAGGGUUCAAUUCCACCCUUGGCCAUCUCUGUGUGGAGUUUCUCCCUGUGCAUGCGUGGGUUUUCUCCGGGUACUCCGGUUUCCUCCCACAUUCCAAACACACCCACCCUUUUUUUUAACAAUAAAUCUUGUCACAAUUUCAUCUAACGAGAUCUUGUGCAUGAGAUCUUGUGGCACUCCUAAUGACUACUCUAGAGUCUAUGCAAUUUUUAUUUCUGUCGUAUUGUGCUUUGAGAAGAUAAGAUGGAAUAAAAUGGUUACUGAAAUGUGAGGGCUGUACUCACUUUUGUGAGGGUUGUCACCAGCAAGGUGGCGCACAUGCA